UACCAUCUGUUACAGCACACAAAGAUAAAAUUGAUGUUAUUUUAGAUAAAUGUGUUGUAUUUUGACCAAUGAUGGCAAGAUUUAAUACUUCCUUGUUUGUUGGAUCGUUCCACCUGAUUUGAAUUGUACAUGGAUUCCAAGAGAGAGGUGUCAACUAAUGUGGAUCAAAUUAUUUUUGGAGUUUCAAUAGUUGGUUCGUCUGAAAGAUCGUCCUCGGUGGCAUGACUUGAAUUCUUUGGAGUAUUAAUUGCAGCCUAUAGUGGUCUAUCAACUCGAUAGGGUCGAGUCUUUUGAGGACACCAGAUUCAGAUCUCCACUGACACAUUUUUACAGGCGUCGGAAGAAGCUUGUCCAACCACUCAGCUUAUGGUUAGAAGAUUGACUGCAGCCUCUCAUGAUCUAUUCACUCGACAGGGUCGAGUUUUUCUCCCACCCCCAGAGUUGAUGAGGACAUCCGAUUUAUUUAUUUAUUUUAUUUUCAAUUUAGACUUUAUUUAUUAUCUUAGACUCUUAUUUAGGUUAUUGGGCUUGUAUUGGCCUGGGCAGUCUCGUUAAGGUUUGCUUUACUAUUUAAACAUAUUUUGUGAUAUAAUUUAUUUCAGUUGAUAAUUGAAUAAACUUUUGUUGGCUUGUGGUGAAAUUCUCUCUUCCUAUUUUCUUCUUUUUUUGUGGAAUUUUCUUCUUCUCCCAUUCUUCCCUUCAAUACCCCCCUUCCCAUAGAUCCAUUCUUACAUUCAAUUAAUUGCUCGAGUUGGUGCUGCAUCAAAGACGUUGUCCGUACAUUAUUGCAAAUAUUGUUUGGCCUAAUGAUCUUAACCUCUCCCGUUUCCUAGGGUGAAUGAAGACUCCCAUUCUUCCCUUCAAUACCCCCCUUCCCAUAGAUCCAUUCUUACAUUCAAUUAAUUGCUCGAGUUGGUGCUGCAUCAAAGACGUUGUCCGUACAUUAUUGCAAAUAUUGUUUGGCCUAAUGAUCUUAACCUCUCCCGUUUCCUAGGGUGAAUGAAGACCAUGGUGGUACUUUGUUAACUAAAUUAUUGAUGCACUGUAAACUGUUCCUAGUGUUCAUGCCUUUUGUAGCAUUUGUACAUAAUUGAUGUAGUUGCUUCAUAUUAUGUAGUCACCUUAACUACUGUCUUUCCAAAAUGUUUUUCCAGUCUUGUUUUAUCCAUCUUAUGUUUGAUCUUUCUACGCAAACAGAU
RNAcentral lists this long non-coding RNA (1199 nucleotides) under Olea europaea (common olive). Its description in RNAcentral is "long non-coding RNA (OEUR_LNC001758)". Lineage: Eukaryota; Viridiplantae; Streptophyta; Magnoliopsida; Lamiales; Oleaceae. The record is from RNAcentral.